GAAAUGCGAUAAGUAGUGUGAAUUGCAGAAUUCAGUGAAUCAUCGAAUCUUUGAACGCACAUUGCGCCCCUUGGUAUUCCAUGGGGCAUGCCUGUUCGAGCGUCAUCUACACCCUCAAGCUCUGCUUGGUGUUGGGCGUCUUUGUCCCGCCUCCGCGCGCGGACUCGCCCCAAAUUCAUUGGCAGCGGUCCUUGCCUCCUCUCGCGCAGCACAUUGCGCUUCUCGAGGUGUUGCGGCCCGCGUCCAGAAAGCAAUCGUUACCGUCUUUGACCUCGGAUCAGGUAGGGAUACCCGCUGAACUUAAGC
This 306-nucleotide unclassified non-coding RNA is filed under the name plant metagenome. RNAcentral's name for it is "partial contains 5.8S ribosomal RNA, internal transcribed spacer 2, and large subunit ribosomal RNA". The stretch from base 1 to 105 matches the Rfam family "5.8S ribosomal RNA", at positions 50 to 154 of the family's 154-position model. The record is from RNAcentral.